This 253-nucleotide ribosomal RNA is filed under the name uncultured bacterium. RNAcentral describes it as "partial 16S ribosomal RNA". It matches the Rfam family "Bacterial small subunit ribosomal RNA", at positions 524 to 776 of the family's 1533-position model. The record is from RNAcentral.
UACAGAGGGUGCAAGCGUUGUUCGGAAUUAUUGGGCGUAAAGCGCGUGUAGGCGGCUUUGCAAGUCGGGUGUGAAAUCCCUCAGCUUAACUGAGGAAGUGCGCCCGAAACUGCAGAGCUUGAGUACCGGAGAGGGUGGCGGAAUUCCCCAAGUAGAGGUGAAAUUCGUAGAUAUGGGGAGGAACACCGGUGGCGAAGGCGGCCACCUGGACGGAUACUGACGCUGAGACGCGAAAGCGUGGGUAGCAAACAGG